Molecule: long non-coding RNA, 1238 nt
Organism: Pieris brassicae (large cabbage white)
Lineage: Eukaryota; Metazoa; Arthropoda; Insecta; Lepidoptera; Pieridae
Exons: 2
Source: RefSeq, a predicted model, not a curated record
ACGGAUAGUGAUGUGUGUUUUAUUAUUCAUUGAUAAGCGUUUUAUUGUGAAUUCGAGUUAAGAUUUUUUUUUAGAGAACGGUUAUAAAAUUAAUGCUGUAUCAGGAGAUCUACAAGAUAUCUGAGUGCAACAAUUAAAAAUGAAACGAUUGAGCUUGGGGACCAAACUCGAAACCCAUCUAGAACAAAUUACAGCGUCACCGUCGUUUUGCCAUCAUAAUGGAUACGACACAGGACAUAUCGAAGGCUUAGCAUUGUUGUGAGGUAUUCAGUAAUAACCAAAUCGGAAAAUGGACAACCAAUUUUUAUAGAACUAAAAGAAGUGUUUCUUGGCUUUUAUACAGCCAUCAAACAUGGCGCAGUAGAUUGUCAACCAAGUCACAACAUUAUCGACAAAAAUAUUGAUUUAAAAAAUGUGUGUGUAAUUAAACCAGUUUGAUGAGCAAUGUACAAAAGCAUAUUAAGGAUAUCCAGCCUAACGCAGAGUACACUACAUUAUGCCACUCAUGAUUUAAAUUUAGUGAUGAAUGAAGUUCAAGUGCAAAGCCAGUGAAACUGCAAGAAAAUGGAAAAUAGGUAUUGAUAGAAAUAAGAAAAAAAACAAAGAAAAGUUUAAAAACAUUUGGAAGAAUUAGCUGCUAAUCACCAAUUUCCAAACCGAGAAAAAAAUAUUUAAAAUUGCGAUUUUUUAAUAAUGGACGUUUUAUUGGUAUGAGUGCAGUCUGUGUGUCAUAUAUUCGAUUUUCUAACACCAACAUUAUUACAUAUUGAUGAAGCAACUUUAUUACAAACGGACGUGUGACGAUUUAGAAAAUAUUUAGAUAUAAUAGGCCCAAGUUUGCACGUCAAUUUAUUAAUAUUUACCACCUAGUUUUACCUCAACUAACUCAAGCAUGGACUGUUGACAAAUUAUGUAACAAAAUAAUGAGCAAAUAUGAAGUGCUAGAAUGCGGAAGUACAGCAAUUUUAUUAUUCUUUACAAUUCCUAUCACUUCUGCAUCAGCUGAAAGAUCAUUUAGCAAAUUAAAAAUAAUAAAACAUUCUUUAAGAAAUAAUAUGGGCCAAAUUCAACUCCGUCAUUUAUUUAUUCGCUAAUAGCAAUUGAAAACAAAACCGCAUCAAGCCUGGAUUUAAGCGAAGUCAUUAAUACUUUUGCGAAAACUAAAGCUAGGAAAAAAUAUAAUAGUUAAUUAGUCAGUUGGUAGGCCCAACCUUUAUAUAGUAAACCCUUGAAUCUUC